AAAUUGAAGAGUUUGAUCAUGGCUCAGAUUGAACGCUGGCGGCAGGCCUAACACAUGCAAGUCGAACGGUAACAGGAAGCAGCUUGCUGCUUUGCUGACGAGUGGCGGACGGGUGAGUAAUGUCUGGGAAACUGCCUGAUGGAGGGGGAUAACUACUGGAAACGGUAGCUAAUACCGCAUAACGUCGCAAGACCAAAGAGGGGGACCUUCGGGCCUCUUGCCAUCGGAUGUGCCCAGAUGGGAUUAGCUAGUAGGUGGGGUAACGGCUCACCUAGGC
RNAcentral lists this ribosomal RNA (277 nucleotides) under Pseudomonas aeruginosa. RNAcentral's name for it is "partial 16S ribosomal RNA". It matches the Rfam family "Bacterial small subunit ribosomal RNA", at positions 1 to 274 of the family's 1533-position model. The record is from RNAcentral. Lineage: Bacteria; Pseudomonadati; Pseudomonadota; Gammaproteobacteria; Pseudomonadales; Pseudomonadaceae. RNAcentral also lists the same sequence under 3 other names.